RNAcentral lists this long non-coding RNA (4939 nucleotides) under Homo sapiens (human). RNAcentral describes it as "HSALNT0150162". The record is from RNAcentral. Lineage: Eukaryota; Metazoa; Chordata; Mammalia; Primates; Hominidae.
GUUCUUCUGAGGAAAACCAGCUGAAGUAUUACAGAAAGAGGAAAUGCUGCAGAGACCCAGCCGGAAACAGUGCUGGCCAGCUCACGCCUGACCCACCCUUAUUCUAAGCAUAGGGUCUGCCUCUGAAGAGCUAAAGACUUCCUGAAAUUUAAAAAUUAGUGCUUUUAUUUGCUUGUCCUGCUAAGACCGUAGGCAAAGGCCAUCCUCCUCCCAUUGACAGUUUAGAGUGGAAACAACCACGGUUACCCUAGAAGUAAAUCCAGAGCUGCGGGACGCUGGAGGACAAAACCAACCUUCCAGGGAAGCCGAGGAGAAGUCAUGCCUUCAAAAGAUGAAGGAACGAGGGCACAGAGAGAUUCGAGUUGUCACCCAAGCUCACAUAGCACCAGUGACAGAGAUGAAGAAACUGACAUCUGGAGAAGUUGAAGUAAUUUGCACAAAGAUUCACUUGGCUAGGCUCAAGCACAGUCAAAUCAUCAUUAAUUAAAAUGUGCAAGGCACCUACAAGCAGCAUAAAUAAAUCAGAAUGGAGAGGCCAGCCUCGUCUGAGUGUCUUGCGAUGUGGGUUAGCCUAGAGGAAAGGCAUGCUCUCUGAAAAUCAGAAAAGAGCUUUUUCCACCCAGUUAAAAGCAAGGAAAUAUGAAGCCACUGAUUGUCCAAGAGAAAGGUCUUUUCAGGCCCCUCCAAGGGUUAACUUUAUGACAAAAUGAAAGAUUAUCCUCUGCCAUCUGUCGCUGAAACCCUGUCUCCAUUUUAUAUUCAAGCCUUGGAGCAAAGAGAAACUAAAGGAAAUGGAGAGACUUUAAAUGUAACUAGGAGCUGUUUCAUAAGUUGAUUUCUCAUUUGUCUUCAUCAGAAAGAUUUCAAGAUUGGGCCAUUUAAUAGACUCUCACUGACAUCUGAGGGGAAGAUGAGCAGUCAACUGUUGGAGAUACUUGGAAGAGGAAUGCAUUCUGCUGUGGGGAUUGAUGGGAAAAUAAGGAGGAGACAGAACUCUAGGUCGUAACAUGGAGACUGAUUAAACUAAAAGCCCAAGAAGCCGGUGCUUCUUGGAACAAUGGCUUCUGUGGCCCUGUGGAGGCAGCAUCCUGCAUCCAUCCAGGGAAAGACAGGUGGCGCUCUACAGGGAAAGGUGAAGUGGCCAAGGUGGUGUUCUUGAGAAAGGCAAUUGUGAGAGUCUUCUCACAUUGUAGGGGUUCAGUUCUGAGGAGAAAGAACAUUUGUCAAUGAAACAAACUGUGAGGAAAUCACAGCCUUUAUGAUGAAACGACCUUCUCAAAGCUUGAUUCCUCCGGCUCCAUCAUUAUCAUUUACCAGAAGUUCAUCUGACGGGUGUGUUGCGCCUCAGUGAAUCUCAAUGGUCUCCCACAGAAUUUCACUUGAGAAAUGGGAUCUGAGGGCCUGGUGUGGUGGCUCUUGCACGCCUGUAAUCCCAGCACUUUGGGGGGCCGAGGUGGGCGAAUCACCUGAGGUCAGGAGUUCGAGACCAGCCUGACCAACAUGGUGAAUCCCUGUCUCUAGUAAAAACACAAAAAUUAGCCAGGCAUUGUGGCUCAUGCCUGUAAUCCCAUCUACUUGGGAGGCUGAGGCAGGAGAAUCACCUGAACCUGAGAAGCGGAGGUUGCAGUGAGCCAAUAUCGUGCCAUUGCACUUCAGCCUGGGUGAUGGAGUGAGAUUCUGUCUCAAAAAAAGAAAGAAAAGAAAAGAGAAAAGAAAAGAAAGAAAUGGGGUCUGCAAAGAGUUUUGUUUUUUCAAUUCAUCGAUGCCUUAUGAAGUAGAUGGGCUGUUAGUUCCACUCUAGUGCAAGAACCACUCCCUCUUUCCUCUCCGCCUCAGAGUUUACCUAUUUAUUCCAGAAACAAAGGCACAGACGUCAUUGUCACGUUGUGCACUUGAAUUUCAACUCCGAACUGACCACAGUUAAGCUUGAAGCAAAUUGAAAGACUCUGGGUAGAUAGUAUGGGAAAGUCUAAACAAAACAUUGGUGGCCAGGAAGAAUGCCUCAUGGUGACAUGUAAGGAGGCCAGCCAAUGCCCAGACAAGACAAGGAGAGCCUCAGGAAAGACAGGUUAGUGGCCACACCCUCUGAGUUCUCAUCCUGUCCUAUUGAAGAGGAAAUGAGUCUCUGAAUAAGAGUCUUUCUCCUCAUCUAGAAUCCUAAAAUGUUAAAGCUGGAAAGAACCUGAAUAUACUGUCUAAAGCCAAGCCUUCAUUUUACAGGUGAAGAAAACUGAGGGUCUUAGAGGUCAAGGCACUAGUCUGUGGUCACACAGCUGCUUCACGGCAGACCCAGAAGUAGCCUGCGGUUUUCCUGAGGCUCAGUUCACAUCUCUCUGCUCUGAGGAGCCAUUUAUUUUAUUUUAAUUCUUUUAAAAAAUGUAUUUUAUUUUUAAUGGAUAAUUAAUAAUUGCAUAUAUUUAUGAGGUACAAUGUGAUAUUUUCAUGUAUAUGUAUUCAUUAUGGAAUAAUUAAAUCAAGCUAAUUAAGGAAGAAUAAUUUAUUUUUCUUUCUUUCUUUUUUUUUUGAGACGGAGUUUUGCUCUGUCACCCAGGCUGGAGUGCAAUGGCCCGAUCUCGCCUCACUGCAACCUCCACCUCCCGAGUUCAAGAGAUUCUCCUGCCUCAGCCUCCCAGGGGCUGGGAAGUUCAAGAUCCAGGCCUCAGAAGAUUUGGGGUUUGGUGAGGGCCAUCUUCUCACUGUAGCCUUACAUGGUGGAAGAGGUAAGGCAGCUCUCUGGAACCUCUUUUAUAAGGGCACUAAUCCCUUUCAUGAGAACUCAGCCCUUAUGAACUCAUCGCCUCCUAAAUUCUCUACCUCCUAACACCAUCACUUUGACAAUCAGAUUUCAACAUAUGAAUUUGUGGGAGUCACCAGCAUUGAGACUAUAGCAACCCCUUAUUAGAAAUAAUUCAUGAGGAACUGAAACUGUUAGGAAACCACUGUGUAAAUGCUGGGAAACAAAGUCAGAUAAAUAAUGCUGAUAAUUACCUGACUGCUUUUGGAACUGUCCUUUUUUGUGAACAUGAGACUACAUCAUUGUCAGUUGAUUGCAGAAGAACCACUAUGAUAUUAUAAUGGGGUCCUGACUCCAUGACUGUGUAAUUCAUGGCUUUCUAACGGUUUAUUAUUGACCUAACUUUGCAGCUCCCCUAGAUCCCCUAACUCCACCAUCUUGGGUUGCAACCAAUGACCUGUUAUUGCAAAACAGGUAAUCUCACUUAGAUAAGUAUUAAUCAGAGGGGCUUGACUUCCAGAGUUCAUUUCAAUGGUUUUCAACUCAUUUGUAGAGUUUAACAUCAGUAGCCCUUUCUCUUCCAUAGGAGGGAGAUGAACCAUCCUGUUUGUUCAAUAAUCAGUGAGAGCGUGGCUUUAACGUCUCUUCCACUCCUUUCUAGUUCAGGUCUUUCUUAACUUGAUGGAGAUAGCUUGGGCCAGGGAGGGCAGAGUGAAGAUGAGAUGGCAAAAAAAAAAAAGUUUUGAUCAGCAGCAUUGACUCUGUGCUAAAUACUGUGCUCAGCUCUUUGGAUGUUAUUUCAUUGAAAUGGAAAGAACACUGUAAAGUUGUCUUGUGAGGCACACUUUCCUGUUGAGGAAAUAAAAGCAUUAAAUAACUUGCCCCCAAAUACAAAGCUAUUAGGAUUGAAACAAAGACUUGAGCCCGGGAUCUAUCUAAUUUCAAGGUCCUUGUUUUUUUUCUACUACAUUUCUCUUUGAGAUACAGUUACUCAAAGGUGUCCAAACUUCAGUUAAUGUCAACCUCUGCCUCACUCUGGUCCUGGUGCCUUUCCCAUGUUCCUGAGAAGAUCAUGUGGCACACUUCUCUAAACGUCUCUGUGCCAUAUCUCUUGGGAUCAAAAGGCCAUUCCAAUAAUUCUUCUGCAUUUCUUAAUGUAUGCUCAGAUGGCCCUGGUUUGCAUUUAGAGAAAGGAAGCUAAGACCUUGGUGAUAACUAAAUAUUUAUAUCUAUUUUUUGAUUAUGUGCUUGUAUUUAAUUAAGUGGGUGCCUACUGUUGUGAAAAUACUUUUGAAUACAAUUCUGAAGUUGUGCCAGGGAACUCUGACAAUGGGUAUGCUGGGAGCUGUCUGAUUUCCUUGUCCUAGACAACUCAUACAAUGCAGUAGAAAAAGAAUUCUUUAUUCCCACUGCCUUUCCUUAGCCCUUCUUCAGAGCAGGGGAAGUGUGACUGUAGCUUUAAAUAGUUUAAAUAGUCCUUCAAAUACGGCAAAUAAAACAGUAUCAAUGAAAAAGAAGAUAAAAUGAGUGGAUUACUCAUAUGAGUUUCAGUUUUAUCAUUCAGUUUCACAGAACUCCAAAGAAUAAUGUGAUUAAGUGGUUUCUUUUUGCAAGGAUUUUCCAGGUGAAAGAUCUGAGCUAUAUAUUGAGGAACCAUAGGAUUAAAAUAGACAUGGGUUUGCUUCUAUGACAGCAUUUUGCAAAAUAACAUGACCAGGUACUAUUGCUCAUGCCUGUCACCCCAGCACCGUGGUCAAGGCAAGUAGAUCACUUGAGGCCAGGAAUUCAAGACCAGCCUGGCUAACAUGGCAAAACCUCAUCUCUAUUAAAAAUACAAAACUUAGCCAGAUCUGGUGGCACAUGCCUGUAAUCCCAGCUACUCAGGAGGCUGAGGCAUGAGAAUCACUUGAGCCUGGCAGGCAGAGGUUGCAGUGAGCCGAGAUUGUGCCACUGUGCUCCAGCCUGGGUGAUAGAGUGAGACCCUGUCUCAAAACAAACAAACAAAGCAAACAAAAACACACACACAAAAAAACCCACCUCUGAUGUGACCCAUGGAUAGAAAACAACAAAUUAAGUUUUAAUGAGACUAUAUAUGCUUGUACUUUAAAAUGGGGCUAAUUCAUAGAUAUAGAAAACUAUACUUAUGACAGUUCAUAUAAAUGAGCCACUGGACUGUCCAAAUUUACCUCUUUUUAUUGUAUGGAC